RNAcentral lists this ribosomal RNA (252 nucleotides) under uncultured bacterium. RNAcentral describes it as "partial 16S ribosomal RNA". It matches the Rfam family "Bacterial small subunit ribosomal RNA", at positions 524 to 776 of the family's 1533-position model. The record is from RNAcentral.
UACGGAGGAUGCGAGCGUUAUCCGGAUUUAUUGGGUUUAAAGGGUGCGUAGGCGGGCUUUUAAGUCAGCGGUAAAAAUUCGGGGCUCAACCCCGUCCGGCCGUUGAAACUGGGGGUCUUGAGUGGGCGAGAAGAAGGCGGAAUGCGUGGUGUAGCGGUGAAAUGCAUAGAUAUCACGCAGAACCCCGACUGCGAAGGCAGCCUUCCGGCGCCCUACUGACGCUGAGGCACGAAAGUGCGGGGAUCGAACAGG